Long non-coding RNA from Haliotis rufescens (red abalone), 1246 nucleotides. RefSeq lists it as uncharacterized. The record is from RefSeq and is a predicted model, not a curated record. The transcript is spliced from 3 exons. NCBI's taxonomy places the organism in Eukaryota, Metazoa, Mollusca, Gastropoda, Lepetellida, Haliotidae.
UCUGAUUGAUGUACAUUUGAUUGCUAGGUUCUGCUGAGACACCAUCGGUUUACCGCUCUCGACAAUGCGAACAUAAUGUUUAUCAUGGCAACCUUGGACAUGGAGAACACAUGCAGACGUUCCUGGUUGAGCAUGUCCAGUUUACUUCAAGAUCUGCACAACAUACCGAAUACAGACAGGGUUAUGGUUGUGGAAGUGAUAUGUUUGACCCGAGAAUAUAAUCACCAAAUUAUACCACAGCAACUAUACCACAAAUACAGCCUAUAGUCAUGUUGGUCAUAUAGGCUGCUAGGUAUACUUGUGACUAAAGUAGGAUCAAGGCAACCUAAUUAUCUCGCUUUUGAAAUUACUAGUUUUGUUAUUAUCUAUAUGUGUCUACUUGCAACAUAGAAGAGAAACACUAUGGAUAUUGAUCUGUGAUACUAAAACCAAGUUGUUUCUUAUUCCAUUUCAUAUUUACGUUUCGUAUGGGAACGUUUAAGGGGGGUAGAAUAUCCUUUUUUCCCGUGUAUAGCUAAACAAAAGCAACAAAACAGUUUCACUGAAGAAUGACAAAACAUGAAAGACUGACGUCUAGAUAUCAGAUGAAAAUGAUCCCUCUUGACACGAGCCACACUGCCAUAAUGAAUUCAUAAACAUGUGGAUUUUGUCAUAUCAAUACUGAUACAUUUUCAUUACAAAUAAAUUCAUUCAGGCGUGAACAAUAUUAGUACUAUAGGAAAGUGAAAUUGCAUAAGUACGAACAGGAAUCGCCAUGUGGCUACUUGUUUUUAAACAUGUGUUUAUAUCCGUUCAGAUGCUGCCGAUUCCCCAGACAGUGGAACUGCAUGGACUGGAAUAAUAGCAUGGACUGCAACAGGCACUCGGAAGCUUGCUUGUACUCACAUUUCCAGAAGGCCGGCUCUGCCUAUAAAAGAGUGAGACGCGGGCGAUUCGAGGUCUUCUACAACCACCCCUGCGUCUGUUGCGCUUGUUCAGACGGGCUACCUUUCUGAGAACUCCAACUUCCUGCCAGCUACCAUUACUGUUUCCAGAUUUAAGAACGACGCACAUGGCAACCAAGCCCAGCAGUCGAUACUGAAUAUUUGGUAGUCACACAAACAACAUCACUCACAGUUGAAGAUGUAUGAGAAUACCGAAAAUUAAUUAUAAUUUAUCCAUUAACCCAUGGUAUUACAUUUUCCUGAUUAAUGUGUAAGGAAGAGGUAGGAUAUAUUUUAGAAAAGGGAAAAAAAUAUUUAUAAAG